Molecule: ribosomal RNA, 840 nt
Filed under: uncultured bacterium
Lineage: Bacteria
Description: SSU rRNA
Rfam family: Bacterial small subunit ribosomal RNA
Source: RNAcentral
UGCAGUCGAACGGAAUUGAGGGGCUUGCUCUUCAAUUUAGUGGCGCACGGGUGAGUAACGCGUGGAUAAUCUGCCUGACGAUCUGGGAUAACAUCUCGAAAGGGGUGCUAAUACCGGAUAAGCCCACGAGGACUUCGGUUCAUGCGGGAAAAGGGGGGGACCUUCGGGCCUUCUGUCGUUAGAUGAGUCCGCGUACCAUUAGCUAGUUGGUAGGGUAAAGGCCUACCAAGGCUACGAUGGUUAGCUGGUUUGAGAGAAUGAUCAGCCACACUGGAACUGAGACACGGUCCAGACUCCUACGGGAGGCAGCAGUGGGGAGUUUUGCGCAAUGGGCGAAAGCCUGACGCAGCAACGCCGCGUGAGUGAUGAAGGCUUUCGGGUCGUAAAGCUCUGUCGAGGGGAAAGAAGUGUAUUGUGGUUAAUACCCGCGAUACUUGACGGUACCCCUAAAGGAAGCACCGGCUAACUCCGUGCCAGCAGCCGCGGUAAUACGGGGGGUGCAAGCGUUGUUCGGAAUUAUUGGGCGUAAAGCGCGUGUAGGCGGUUUGUUAAGUCUGAUGUGAAAGCCCUGGGCUCAACCCAGGAAGUGCAUUGGAAACUGGCAGACUUGAAUACGGGAGAGGGUAGUGGAAUUCCUAGUGUAGGAGUGAAAUCCGUAGAUAUUAGGAGGAACACCGGUGGCGAAGGCGGCUACCUGGACUGAUAUUGACGCUGAGACGCGAAAGCGUGGGUAGCAAACAGGAUUAGAUACCCUGGUAGUCCACGCCGUAAACGAUGAGUACUAGGUGUUGCGGGUAUUGACCCCUGCAGUGCCGCAGCUAACGCAUUAAGUACUCCGCC